CCUACGGGAGGCAGCAGUGGGGAAUUUUGGACAAUGGGCGCAAGCCUGAUCCAGCCAUGCCGCGUGUGUGAAGAAGGCCUUCGGGUUGUAAAGCACUUUCGGCCGGGACGAAAUCGCUCGGGAUAACACCCAGGGUGGAUGACGGUACCGGAAGAAGAAGCACCGGCUAACUACGUGCCAGCAGCCGCGGUAAUACGUAGGGUGCAAGCGUUAAUCGGAAUUACUGGGCGUAAAGCGUGCGCAGGCGGUUUUGUAAGCCAGACGUGAAAUCCCCGGGCUUAACCUGGGAACUGCGUUUGGAACUGCAAGGCUAGAGUGCGGCAGAGGAAGGUGGAAUUCCUGGUGUAGCAGUGAAAUGCGUAGAUAUCAGGAGGAACAUCGAUGGCGAAGGCAGCCUUCUGGGCUAGCACUGACGCUCAUGCACGAAAGCGUGGGGAGCAAACAGGAUUAGAUACCCUAGUAGUC
Molecule: ribosomal RNA, 465 nt
Filed under: uncultured bacterium
Lineage: Bacteria
Description: bacterial SSU rRNA
Rfam family: Bacterial small subunit ribosomal RNA
Source: RNAcentral